This 272-nucleotide ribosomal RNA is filed under the name uncultured bacterium. RNAcentral describes it as "partial small subunit ribosomal RNA". It matches the Rfam family "Bacterial small subunit ribosomal RNA", at positions 26 to 287 of the family's 1533-position model. The record is from RNAcentral.
AGGAUAAACGCUGGCGGCGUGCCUAACACAUGCAAGUCGAACGCCCUUUAGCUUCGCAAGGAGUGGGAGGGAGUGGCGGACGGGUGAGGAACACGUGGGUGACCUACCUUUCAGUGAGGAAUACCGGCGAGAAAUCGCCGACAAGACCGCAUACGCUUCUCUGUUCAAUCGGGGAAGGAAAGCUUUUUCGCAAGAGGAGGCGCUGGAAGAUGGGCCUGCGGCCGAUUAGCUAGCUGGUGGGGUAACGGCCUACCAGGGCGACGAUCGGUAGC